RNAcentral lists this long non-coding RNA (413 nucleotides) under Eucalyptus grandis. RNAcentral's name for it is "long non-coding RNA (EGRA_LNC001532)". The record is from RNAcentral. Lineage: Eukaryota; Viridiplantae; Streptophyta; Magnoliopsida; Myrtales; Myrtaceae.
AGAAAUUAUUGCCCGAUCCUCUUUGUCCAUUCUGCCGCCAGCUACCGGCAACAACAGAGCACCUCUUCUUACUCUGCGAGUAGACAAAAGCGAUAUGGUCAGACCCAAGAGUCAGUAUCAAGUUUUCCAGUCAAGAGAUUACUAGGCUAGACAAAUGGGUUCUCGAUCAGAUGCAACAAAAGAGGAACUCACCCUCUUUCGAAGUCUUUGCGUGUAUAUUGUGGAACUUGCGGAAGGCACGCAAUUACUUCAUCUUCCAGUCUUGGCAACCAGAUCUGAACGCAAUUAUCGAAAAUGCUUAUGCUAUAGACAAGAACUUUAGACGCCGGAACCCUGUAACAUCUACUCGGGAGAAGGGACAGGUAAAACUACAGGAACUUGAGGUCUGCCCUUCUGCACUUGGAAGACAAGCG